This 465-nucleotide ribosomal RNA is filed under the name uncultured Klebsiella sp. RNAcentral's name for it is "bacterial SSU rRNA". It matches the Rfam family "Bacterial small subunit ribosomal RNA", at positions 338 to 795 of the family's 1533-position model. The record is from RNAcentral. Lineage: Bacteria; Pseudomonadati; Pseudomonadota; Gammaproteobacteria; Enterobacterales; Enterobacteriaceae.
CCUACGGGCGGCUGCAGUGGGGAAUAUUGCACAAUGGGCGCAAGCCUGAUGCAGCCAUGCCGCGUGUGUGAAGAAGGCCUUCGGGUUGUAAAGCACUUUCAGCGGGGAGGAAGGCGUUAAGGUUAAUAACCUUGUCGAUUGACGUUACCCGCCGAAGAAGCACCGGCUAACUCCGUGCCAGCAGCCGCGGUAAUACGGAGGGUGCAAGCGUUAAUCGGAAUUACUGGGCGUAAAGCGCACGCAGGCGGUCUGUCAAGUCGGAUGGGAAAUCCCCGGGCUCAACCUGGGAACUGCAUUCGAAACUGGCAGGCUAGAGUCUUGGAGAGGGGGGUAGAAUUCCAGGUGGAGCGGUGAAAUGCGUAGAGAUCUGGAGGAAUACCGGUGGCGAAGGCGGCCCCCUGGACAAAGACUGACGCUCAGGUGCGAAAGCGUGGGGAGCAAACAGGAUUAGAUACCCUAGUAGUC